This 323-nucleotide ribosomal RNA is filed under the name uncultured Prevotella sp. Its description in RNAcentral is "partial 16S ribosomal RNA". The record is from RNAcentral. Lineage: Bacteria; Pseudomonadati; Bacteroidota; Bacteroidia; Bacteroidales; Prevotellaceae.
GGAGUUUGGACCGUGUCUCAGUUCCAAUGUGGGGGACCUUCCUCUCAGAACCCCUACCGAUCGAGGGCUUGGUGGGCCGUUACCCCGCCAACUACCUAAUCGGACGCAUCCCCAUCCAUGGCCGGUAAACCUUUAGUCCUCGUUAGAUGCCUUCAAAGGACGCCAUAGGGCAUUAAUCCGCUUUUCAACGGGCUAUUCCCUAGCCAUGGGCAGGUUGGAUACGCGUUACUCACCCGUGCGCCGGUCGCCAGCGACAAUAGCAAGACUAUACCGUCCUGCUGCCCCUCGACUUGCAUGUGUUAAGCCUGUAGCUAGCGUUCAUC